GACGAACGCUGGCGGCGUGCCUAACACAUGCAAGUCGAACGGAGAUAUGAUUUCGGUUAUAUCUUAGUGGCGAACGGGUGAGUAACGCGUGAGCAACCUGACCUUCAGAGGGGGAGUAACACUUGGAAACAGGUGCUAAUACCGCAUAAGACCACGACCCGACAUCGGGAUGCGGUCAAAGGAGCAAUCCGCUGAGGGAGGGGCUCGCGUCCCAUUAGAUAGAUGGCGGGGUAACGGCCCACCAUGUCGACGAUGGGUAGCCGAGCUGAGAGGCUGAUCGGCCACACUGGAACUGAGACACGGUCCAGACUCCUACGGGAGGCAGCAGUGGGGAAUAUUGGGCAAUGGGCGCAAGCCUGACCCAGCAACGCCGCGUGAGGGAAGAAGGCCUUCGGUUGUAAACCUCUGUCCUGGUGACGAACAAAUAGACGGUAGCCAAGGAGGAAGCCCCGGCUAACUACGUGCCAGCAGCCGCGGUAAGU
This 482-nucleotide ribosomal RNA is filed under the name uncultured bacterium. Its description in RNAcentral is "bacterial SSU rRNA". It matches the Rfam family "Bacterial small subunit ribosomal RNA", at positions 28 to 525 of the family's 1533-position model. The record is from RNAcentral.